Molecule: ribosomal RNA, 520 nt
Filed under: uncultured Archaeospora
Lineage: Eukaryota; Fungi; Glomeromycota; Glomeromycetes; Archaeosporales; Archaeosporaceae
Description: SSU rRNA
Rfam family: Eukaryotic small subunit ribosomal RNA
Source: RNAcentral
AGCAGCCGCGGUAAUUCCAGCUCCAAUAGCGUAUAUUAAAGUUGUUGCAGUUAAAAGCUCGUAGUUGAAUUUUAGGCCUGGCCGCGGUCCGUCUUUGGCGAGUACUGUCCUGUGUCGGGUCUUCCUUCUGGUGAACCUGCAUGUCCUUUAUUGGGUGUGCUGGGGAGCCAGGACCAUUACCUUGAAAAAUUAGAGUGUUUAAAGCGGGCUUUUGCUUGAAUAGAUUAGCAUGGAAUAAUAGAAUAGGACGUUGUGGUUCUAUUUUGUUGGUUUCUAGGACCACCGUAAUGAUUAAUAGGGAUAGUUGGGGCAUUAGUAUUCAAUUGUCAGAGGUGAAAUUCUUGGAUUUAUUGGAGACUAACUAUUGCGAAAGCAUUUGCCAAGGAUGUUUUCAUUAAUCAAGAACGAAAGUUAGGGAUCGAAGACGAUCAGAUACCGUCGUAGUCUUAACCAUAAACUAUGCCGACUAGGAAUCGGGCGACGUUAUUUUCAUGACUCGCUCGGCGCCUUAUGGGAAACC